RNAcentral lists this ribosomal RNA (253 nucleotides) under uncultured bacterium. RNAcentral's name for it is "partial 16S ribosomal RNA". It matches the Rfam family "Bacterial small subunit ribosomal RNA", at positions 524 to 776 of the family's 1533-position model. The record is from RNAcentral.
UACGUAGGGGGCAAGCGUUGUCCGGAAUCACUGGGCGUAAAGCGCACGUAGGCGGAUUGCUAAGUCAGGGGUGAAAUCCUGGAGCUCAACUCCAGAACUGCCCUUGAUACUGGCGGUCUCGAGUCCGGGAGAGGUGAGUGGAACUGCGAGUGUAGAGGUGAAAUUCGUAGAUAUUCGCAAGAACACCAGUGGCGAAGGCGGCUCACUGGCCCGGUACUGACGCUGAGGUGCGAAAGCGUGGGGAGCAAACAGG